CCCUUAGAUGUUCUGGGCCGCACGCGCGCUACAAUGAUGCAGGCAACGAGUGCCGCUCCUUAGCCGAAAGGCUUGGGGAAUCUUGAAAACUGUAUCGUGCUAGGGAUAGAUGAUUGCAAUCGUGCAUCUUGAACGAGGAAUGCCUUGUAAGCGUGAGUCAUCAACUCGCGCUGAAUACGUCCCUGCCCUUUGUACACACCGCCCGUCGCUCCUACCGAUUGGAUGGUCCGGUGAACUGGUCGGACUGCUGUUUGAAAUUGCGGGUGCAGUUGAUUCACGGGAAGUCUAGUAAACCUUAUCAUCUAGAGGAAGGAGAAGUCGUAACA
RNAcentral lists this ribosomal RNA (326 nucleotides) under uncultured eukaryote. RNAcentral describes it as "partial 18S ribosomal RNA". It matches the Rfam family "Eukaryotic small subunit ribosomal RNA", at positions 1470 to 1796 of the family's 1831-position model. The record is from RNAcentral.